Molecule: ribosomal RNA, 835 nt
Filed under: Staphylococcus aureus
Lineage: Bacteria; Bacillati; Bacillota; Bacilli; Caryophanales; Staphylococcaceae
Description: partial 23S ribosomal RNA
Rfam family: Bacterial large subunit ribosomal RNA
Source: RNAcentral
AAUCAUCUGGAAAGAUGAAUCAAAGAAGGUAAUAAUCCUGUAGUCGAAAAUGUUGUCUCUCUUGAGUGGAUCCUGAGUACGACGGAGCACGUGAAAUUCCGUCGGAAUCUGGGAGGACCAUCUCCUAAGGCUAAAUACUCUCUAGUGACCGAUAGUGAACCAGUACCGUGAGGGAAAGGUGAAAAGCACCCCGGAAGGGGAGUGAAAUAGAACCUGAAACCGUGUGCUUACAAGUAGUCAGAGCCCGUUAAUGGGUGAUGGCGUGCCUUUUGUAGAAUGAACCGGCGAGUUACGAUUUGAUGCAAGGUUAAGCAGUAAAUGUGGAGCCGUAGCGAAAGCGAGUCUGAAUAGGGCGUUUAGUAUUUGGUCGUAGACCCGAAACCAGGUGAUCUACCCUUGGUCAGGUUGAAGUUCAGGUAACACUGAAUGGAGGACCGAACCGACUUACGUUGAAAAGUGAGCGGAUGAACUGAGGGUAGCGGAGAAAUUCCAAUCGAACCUGGAGAUAGCUGGUUCUCUCCGAAAUAGCUUUAGGGCUAGCCUCAAGUGAUGAUUAUUGGAGGUAGAGCACUGUUUGGACGAGGGGCCCCUCUCGGGUUACCGAAUUCAGACAAACUCCGAAUGCCAAUUAAUUUAACUUGGGAGUCAGAACAUGGGUGAUAAGGUCCGUGUUCGAAAGGGAAACAGCCCAGACCACCAGCUAAGGUCCCAAAAUAUAUGUUAAGUGGAAAAGGAUGUGGCGUUGCCCAGACAACUAGGAUGUUGGCUUAGAAGCAGCCAUCAUUUAAAGAGUGCGUAAUAGCUCACUAGUCGAGUGACACUGCGCCGAAAAUGU